GAGGGUAUAGCUCAAGUGGUAGGUUACAUGCUUAGCAUGCACAAGGUCCUGGGUUCAAUCCCCAGUACCUCCA
Molecule: transfer RNA, 73 nt
Filed under: Camelus bactrianus (Bactrian camel)
Lineage: Eukaryota; Metazoa; Chordata; Mammalia; Artiodactyla; Camelidae
Also listed under: 2 other names
Rfam family: tRNA
About the family: Transfer RNA (tRNA) molecules are approximately 80 nucleotides in length. Their secondary structure includes four short double-helical elements and three loops (D, anti-codon, and T loops).
Source: Rfam by way of RNAcentral